This 164-nucleotide ribosomal RNA is filed under the name Lilium pomponium. Its description in RNAcentral is "5.8S ribosomal RNA". It matches the Rfam family "5.8S ribosomal RNA". From Rfam's summary of the family: 5.8S ribosomal RNA (5.8S rRNA) is a component of the large subunit of the eukaryotic ribosome. It is transcribed by RNA polymerase I as part of the 45S precursor that also contains 18S and 28S rRNA. Functionally, it is thought that 5.8S rRNA may be involved in ribosome translocation. The record is from RNAcentral. Lineage: Eukaryota; Viridiplantae; Streptophyta; Magnoliopsida; Liliales; Liliaceae.
UAUACGACUCUCGGCAACGGAUAUCUCGGCUCUCGCAUCGAUGAAGAACGCAGCGAAAUGCGAUACUUGGUGUGAAUUGCAGAAUCCCGUGAACCAUCGAGUCUUUGAACGCAAGUUGCGCCCGAGGCCUUUCGGUUGAGGGCACGCCUGCCUGGGCGUCACGC